UGCAAUGAAGGGAGACGCUCCUCUCCCGUCACAGCAUAUGCAUCAAUCUAUCAACACCCAACUGGCCUACUCUCACUGUAAUCAUCCUUGGGAUCAUCUCGACAUGAGAUUUCUACGAUCCUCCACGUUGAUCGGCCCGUCUCAUCACUUGGUGAAACACACAAAUGCCUUGACUAUUUGAUUUGAGAUUUCCUGGAGAGUGCAAAAUAUUUUAUGCACUGUUUUCUUGCGUAGAUCGGAAAAGAAGGCCUAUAGAUGUGAUUGAGAUGAAAUCUACCGCUUUCUACUUCGUCUUCCUCCUCCUCCUGCACUACGCAGUGAGGGUGGGGUCCACUCCGCCGAGUUAUUUCCAUUAAGGCCGCCCGAAUUUGUCGCCUCCUUCUCUGCCUUCGACAGCUCCCUACUCUCCUCGCGUGCUGCUUUCUACCUCCUCUCUCUCUCUCUCUCUCUCUCUCUCUGUCUUUUGUUAUCCGCGCCUCGUUCUUUCNNNNNNNNNNNNNNNNNNNNUCCUCUCUCUCUCUCUCUCUCUCUCUCUCUGCUUUUUGUAUCCGCGCCUCGUCUUUCUUUGCCAUUGAUAGUUUCCCCGGGAUUAGCGGGAUCGAUGACAGGAAGAAGCGAAAGAGGGUACCGGGAAGAAGCGUAGUCGGUGCCGGGAGAGGGAGGAG
RNAcentral lists this long non-coding RNA (665 nucleotides) under Musa acuminata (dwarf banana). RNAcentral describes it as "long non-coding RNA (MACU_LNC004347)". The record is from RNAcentral. Lineage: Eukaryota; Viridiplantae; Streptophyta; Magnoliopsida; Zingiberales; Musaceae.